Molecule: ribosomal RNA, 681 nt
Filed under: Russula parazurea
Lineage: Eukaryota; Fungi; Basidiomycota; Agaricomycetes; Russulales; Russulaceae
Description: eukaryotic LSU rRNA
Rfam family: Eukaryotic large subunit ribosomal RNA
Source: RNAcentral
UUGACCUCAAAUCGGGUGAGACUACCCGCUGAACUUAAGCAUAUCAAUAAGCGGAGGAAAAGAAACUAACAAGGAUUCCCCUAGUAACUGCGAGUGAAGCGGGAAAAGCUCAAAUUUGGAAUCUGGUGGUCUUUGGCCAUCCGAGUUGUAAUUUAGAGAAGCGUCUUCCGCGCUGGACCRUGCACAAGUCUCCUGGAAUGGAGCGUCAUAGAGGGUGAGAAUCCCGUCUUUGGCAUGGAAUCCCAGGGCUUCUGUGAUGCGCUCUCGACGAGUCGAGUUGUUUGGGAAUGCAGCUCAAAAUGGGUGGUGAACUCCAUCUAAAGCUAAAUAUUGGCGAGAGACCGAUAGCGAACAAGUACCGUGAGGGAAAGAUGAAAAGCACUUUGGAAAGAGAGUGAAACAGUACGUGAAAUUGUUGAAAGGGAAACGCUUGAAGUCAGUCGCGUCGACCGAGACUCAGCCUUGCCUCGGCUUGGUGUACUUCUCGGCUUGACGGGUCAGCAUCGAUUUCGAUCCUCGGAUAAUGGCAAGGGAAAGGUGGCACCUUUUUAGGUGUGUUAUAGUCCUCUGUCGCAUGCGAGGGUCGGGAUCGAGGAACUCAGCACGCACCUCAGGGUGUCGGGGCCUYGGCCCACGUUUACGUGCUYAGGAUGCUGGCGUAAUGGCUUUAAACGACCCGUC